RNAcentral lists this long non-coding RNA (3881 nucleotides) under Sus scrofa (pig). RNAcentral describes it as "lncRNA (ENSSSCG00015046659.1)". Lineage: Eukaryota; Metazoa; Chordata; Mammalia; Artiodactyla; Suidae. The record is from RNAcentral.
CAGGGAUGUGUAAAUACCCCAUUUAGAGUUUGCUCCUGGCAUUUUUUGUAAAUAAUGUGAGAGUUGGCGCUGGAGCUGUUGUAUAAUUCUCCUAACCAGAGCUGCACCAGAGCACAGGCAGGGCACACCCGACUCUGGUGGCCUCAGUUUGAUGCAAACCUGAAGUCUGCUCCAGUUCGUUUUCUGUGUAUUAGGCUGGAUAUGUCUUGACCACUCUCUUGGGAGGUGUCAAAGUUAAAAAUCAUUGUUUUAUAAUUAGCAUCAAUAUAAUUGACACAAGGAAUGUUACAUGGCCAUGUGCAUGCAGCCAGUGGAGACAGAAGUGUGCUUCCCUGCUGGUAUCUGUGCCCUCUCCCUGUCUACAUGUGACUAUCGACCAGCUUCUCGGGUUAUUUUGAAAUCACAAUCCUAUAGUUAAAAUAAGAUUGAAACAAAUACUUAAGUGACCCAGGGAUUGUACUGUAUCUGACCUGGACACAAAAUGAAGAAUGUAUUCUCUCAUAACACCUAGGUAUGGGGAGUUCCCAUCGUGGCUUAGUGGAAAUGAAUCUGACUAGCAUCCAUGAGGACACAGGUUUGAUCCCUGACCUCACUCAGUGGGUUAAGAAUCCAGUAUUGCCUUGACCUGUGGUCUAGGUCGCAGACACGGCUUAGAUCCCUCAUUGCCAUGGCUGUCGCCCUCUGGCCUAUGCCACAGCCACAGCCACAGAAACACCAUAUCCGAGCCUCUUCUGUGACCUACAUACACCACACACAGCUCACCGCAACGCCAGAUCCUUAACCCACUGAGCGCGGCCAGGGAUCGAACCUGCAACCACAUGGUUCCUAGUCGGAUUCGUUUCUGCUGUGCCACAACGUGAACUCCUGAUAUUUUCUCUUGACUGGACUAGUUCCUCAGCCUUGGAAAACUCAGAAGCUAUAGUCGACAGGGGGCUAGGAAGGUGGUUUCUGCCCUUGAGUCUUACUAAAGGCAGUUCCACAUUUUCUUCACAAGGUAUUCUAUCCCUUUAACUGGAUGCUCCAGUUUCUUGACCUUCUCUGGUUGCAAUGAUCUGUAGCCUUAUAUUUUUCCGCCCUCUCUCUUACACUUGAUACUUCAUCUCCAAGAACAUUUGUCAUUCCUCAACAUUCUCUGAUUUUCCCUGUAGCUGAAUCUAAAUUUACAUGGAUUUUGAAUCAGAGAUGGCUUCUUGUCUGCUAAAAAACGCUCUCUGUCUUCAAGAUGUAUUUCAAAAACCACUUCUUCACCUAAAUGUUGCCAGAUUUUUAUUUUGCUCAUCCUCCAGUUUGAAUUAAUUAUUGCAUGCCUCUAUGACUUUCCUUAUUUAUUAUUUUUGUACUGAAUUUUAUCUAACUAUUGUUAGGGGUGCUCUGUUUACAUAUUGGUUUGUGAAAUUCUUGGGGCAAGUUUUAAAUUUCAUUCCUCUUUGAAUCUUUUCUGGGCCUAAUUUGGUACCACACAUAGAGAAGUUCUUCAAUAAAUAUUUGAAGUACCUUAUUGAAUUACAUGUCUCUGUGGAACACAGAAAUAACAUUUCUUCUAGUCAAUAAAUAAUAAAAUAUUUACUUGGUAGCUUUAUUUUGUAAAGAUCCAUACUAGCACUACAGAAUAGAGUUCUUUUUUUUGUUGUUGUUGAAAUUUUUUUUUUUUAAAUUUUGUGGCCAUACCCACAGCAUAUAGAAGUUGUUUUAACUUUUAUCUUUUCCUCUUUCAUUUUUAUUAAGCACCUAUUAGUUGGUGAUACUUUUUCUAGGCCCUGGAGAUAGCAAGAAUGUUUGUUCAAAUGAUUUGUAUCAAAAGCACUCAGGGGAGUUCCUGUUGUGGCUCAGCAGGUUAAGAACCAAACAUAGUCUCUGUAAGGAUGUGGAUUCCAUCCCUCAUCUCACUCAGUGGGUUAAGGACUUAGCGUUGCCCCAAGCUGCAGUGUAGGUUGCAGGUGUGGCGUGAAUCCGGCAUUGUUGUGGCUGUGGCAUAGGCCUGUAGCUACAGCUCCAGUUCAGCCCCUAGCCCAGAACUUUCAUAUGCUGCAGGUGCAGCCGUAAAAAGAAAAUAAAUAAAACACAAAUUUAUUAAAGCAAAAAAGGAGUCAGGAAGUUCUCUCAACUGCUGAGAGAUGGACAAGAUCCCAGCACUCAUUAAUGAAGGACAGCGAGUGUGAUACUGUCAGGAUAGACAUGUAGAGGAGGGUAUUAUAGAGCCGAGGAUUGUUUGCAGCUUAAAACCUUGGGAUUUAGGGCAGUACUGGAGAGGUCAAGGAGGCAUUGAGGAGGUGGGUCACUUGAGGUGAGCAUGUUUUAUGGGACGGGGCAGGAGGGCAUUAGCAGUCUGUUUCUGAAUAGUUGGAACAUGGCAGGUGGUAAUCAAGCAACCUGUUAACAUUAUUUGACGAAGUUUCCCAUAGAAGACAAUGCUCUGAGGGUCUGUUACUUUGUUCAUUCCUUUGGCUCUAUGUCCUAACACUUAAAUUUCUGAAUCCCAGGUGUAUUUAGCUUAUACAGUUGACCCUUGAACAACUGGGGGUUUAUUUGAUUGUAAUUUAUAAUUGGUCCUCUGUAUCAGUGGUUCUUCUGCAUACGAGGAUUCAACCAGCUACAGAACCAUGUAGUUCUAUAGUAUUUCUUACUGAAAAAUAUCCACCUAUAUGUGGAUUUGGGGCACUUCAAACCCAGUGUUGUUCAAGGUCAUCUGUAAUUGAAUCUUUACUGUCUAACAUAAUGACUGUCAUGUGAAAAGGGCACAGAAAAUGCUCAUUCAUUCAUUGCUUCAUAUGGAUGGAAAAUAACUAAUGGUCUGCUCCCUGCUAGGUGCUGCGGCUGCGCUGGAGAACAUGACCCUUUUGGUCCCAGGUUCCAUGAGAACUGUCUUAGUGGGGCAUUUUAGGCAAGAAACUAGUGAAUGUCAAUAGGUAGAACUGAUCUGUGGUAGCCAUGAAGGAAAUAAAUGGGCUUGUGAUUAUAGCAGUAGGCAUCUCUUUUACAUAGAUGGUAAGUGAAAAUCUCCUGGUCAUCAGGGAGAUAGAACUCCAUGCUGAAAGAGCAGGAAGUACAACCAAGAACUUGGGGUGGAAAAAAGUGCGUGGCUUGCUCUAGCAUCUUGCUGAAGACAUUGAGGCUCCAAGCAACAUAAGAUAGAUGAUGGGAAUCCUGUGAGAUGAGGUCCCAGAGGGUGGGAAGGAGACAGGCAGGAGCUAGCAUCUACAGAAUCCAGCAGGCUGUAUUAAAGAGAAUCUUAAGGAUCCUGAGAAAUCAUUAAAGGUGAGCAACAUUUACAUUUAUUUCAAGAUUUACUUACCUACACGCUCUAAAGGACCAAAGUAGGUAAUCUUAGAAGGUAUUGAGCACUCCUGGUCAUGUGGGUAGCUAUUUUUGAAAAACCUUCCUUUUGACUAUAGACUAACAUCCAUUAAGAAACUGCACAGAGGUCCUCCAUUCUCAUGGGAGUGCUGGAAGCUAAGCCAACUGGGGGAACAUCUGAUGAAUCCUUGGAGAGACAAAAGUGGAGGACAUAAAGCUGCACAAGUAGGUUUCGACUCCAGGUCUCAUUUUAAGAGUGAGCCCCCUGUGAGAGGCAGUAAUUGGCCAGCAGAGUGCGAUUGCUCCUAAUUGCCUCCCUAAUUACACAUGCCGGUGUUGGGGGCUGAAGGCCUGGUACUUUGGCAUUGUAUAUCACAGAUGACUUAUCCCUGGAGAGAUGAGGCAAAAAUAUCUCCCAGGAAUGAGCCUUUUUUUCUUUUUUUGUAGCCCUCCAGGCAGUGGGGAUGCAGAUAGGAGGAGUCCAGGGAACUAGGUUAUAUACAGGGUCUUUAGUUGGUAAGUAGAUACAAGUCAGCUCAGAGAGUACACAUCCCACCAAACCUUCUAGCUUUAAAAAAAAAAAAAAA